This is an RNA transcript of Pistacia vera, 1344 nucleotides long. It is a transcript of the gene named methionyl-tRNA formyltransferase, with no coding region annotated. NCBI's taxonomy places the organism in Eukaryota, Viridiplantae, Streptophyta, Magnoliopsida, Sapindales, Anacardiaceae. The record is from RefSeq and is a predicted model, not a curated record. The transcript has 12 exons.
CCUCUAUCAAAGAUAAAAAAGCAGAGCGGCUUGAAGGAAGUCCAGUGAAGAAGAAGAGGAAUGAAUUCUUCGUUGAUGUUGAGACGCUUCUUCUGCUUCAACGCAUCAUCAUCAUCAUCAUCAGCAACCACAACAGCUUGUGCUUCGAAGAAGAAGCCUCUCGUCUUCUUGGGCUCUCCUCAGGUCUCUGCUACUGUACUCGACGCUCUCUUCAACGCUUCUUCCUCACCCACCUCCCAUUUUGAGGUUGCAGCAAUUGUUACCCAGCCUUCUAGAAGAGAUAGGGGUAGAAAGGUUCUGCCUACUCCGGUAGCACAGUUUGCUCUUGAGAGGGGCUUUUCGUCUGACCUCAUUUUCACACCCGAACGGGCUGGAGAGGAUGCGUUCUUGACCAGUUUAAGAGCUUUGCAGCCUGAACUUUGCAUAACUGCAGCCUAUGGGAAUAUUUUACCAAGCAAAUUCCUCAAUAUUCCACCAUUGGGAACAGUGAACAUACACCCUAGUCUGCUGCCGCUGUACCGUGGUGCUGCUCCUGUUCAAAGAGCAUUGCAGGAUGGAGCUAAAGAAACAGGAGUAUCAUUAGCAUUUACUGUGCGUGCACUUGAUGCUGGACCUGUUAUUGCCUGUGAAAGAAUGGAAGUCGAUGAUCAAAUUAAGGCACCAGAUUUAUUAGCAUUAUUAUUUUCUGAAGGAUCUAAACUUCUGAUUCGUGAGCUUCCCUAUGUAUUGGAUGGCUCAGCAAAGAUGAAAGCACAGGCCCAAGAUGAUUCUAAAGCUACCUUGGCACCAAAGAUAACUCCUGAGGAGUCAUGGCUGUCCUUCGAUCAAGAAGCUUCAAUCCUUCACAAUAAGGUUCGUGCAUUUGCAGGAUGGCCAGGAACCCGAGCUAAAGUAGCUGUUGUUGAUGACAGAAACAGUGAGCAAAAUAUCAUAGAACUCAAGAUUAUCACCACAAGAGUCUGUGCUCAUAGCAAAAUUAAGGCCAAUGAAGUAGAUGGCAUCACUUUCAGAAAGGGUGCGCUGGUCAUUCCAUGUGGAGGGUGCACAGCUCUCGAGGUGUGGUAUUGGAAGUUCAGCUUCCUGGUAAGAAGGUGGUAAACGCUGCAGCAUUUUGGAAUGGUUUGCGAGGUCGAAAACUGAAGAUAAUAUAGCAGAGGUGCAUCUAUAGUGCAAUUUAAAAUGAAAGGGGAGAUUCAGGCUAAGCAAAGUGUAUCUGUUCCAAUUUCAUCGGAUAUGUGUAUUGCAAGAGAACUUUAAGUUCCUAAACAUUGAACGGCAGCUUCAACAACAAGGCAGUUGGCAAUCUUGGGGUUUUUCUUUAGUGGAGUUUUUUGUUUGGCAUUU